This 505-nucleotide ribosomal RNA is filed under the name uncultured bacterium. Its description in RNAcentral is "partial 16S ribosomal RNA". It matches the Rfam family "Bacterial small subunit ribosomal RNA", at positions 28 to 507 of the family's 1533-position model. The record is from RNAcentral.
GACGAACGCUGGCGGCGUGCCUAAUACAUGCAAGUCGAACGCACAGUUUAUACCGUAGCUUGCUUCACCAUAGACUGUGAGUUGCGAACGCGUGAGUUACGCGUAGGUGACCUGCCUGGUAUCGGGGGAUAACUACUGGUAACGCUAGCUACUAGCGCAUGAUAUUAAUUAUUGCAUGAUAAUUAAUUGAACAGAGCAAUUGCACCCCUACCAGCUGGACCUUCGUUUUAUUAGCUAGUAGGUGAGGUAACGGCUCACCUAGGCGAAGAUACAUCAACGACCUGGAAAGGAUGACCGCCCACAUUGGAAUGAGGCACGGCCCAGACUUCUACGGGAGGCAGCCGGAGGGAAUCUUUGGAAAUGGACGGAAGUCUGACUGAGCAAAGCCGGGUGAGUGAAGAAGGUUUUCGGAUCGUAAAGGUCUGUUGUAAGAGAAGAACGGGUAUGAGAGUGGAAAGUUCACACUGUGACGGUAUCUUAAGAGAAAGGGACGGCUAACUACGUG